AACUCUGUGGCGCAAUGGGAGCGUGUUUGACUGCAGAUUAGAAGGUUGUGUCUUCAAAUCAUGUCUAAGUAA
Molecule: non-coding RNA, 72 nt
Organism: Ataeniobius toweri
Lineage: Eukaryota; Metazoa; Chordata; Actinopteri; Cyprinodontiformes; Goodeidae
Source: the annotation of a GenBank genome assembly